This 65-nucleotide transfer RNA is filed under the name Allotermes cf. paradoxus. Its description in RNAcentral is "tRNA-Pro". Lineage: Eukaryota; Metazoa; Arthropoda; Insecta; Blattodea; Kalotermitidae. The record is from RNAcentral.
CAGGGGAUAGUUUAUUUAAAAUGUUAGCUUUGGAGGUUGAUGAUAAGUGUUGAUCUUUUCCCUGA